Molecule: ribosomal RNA, 453 nt
Filed under: Streptococcus cristatus
Lineage: Bacteria; Bacillati; Bacillota; Bacilli; Lactobacillales; Streptococcaceae
Description: bacterial SSU rRNA
Rfam family: Bacterial small subunit ribosomal RNA
Source: RNAcentral
ACGAACGCUGGCGGCGUGCCUAAUACAUGCAAGUAGAACGCUGAAGAGAGGAGCUUGCUCUUCUUGGAUGAGUUGCGAACGGGUGAGUAACGCGUAGGUAACCUGCCUGGUAGCGGGGGAUAACUAUUGGAAACGAUAGCUAAUACCGCAUAAAAUUGAUUAUUGCAUGAUAGUCAAUUGAAAGGUGCAACUGCACCACUACCAGAUGGACCUGCGUUGUAUUAGCUAGUUGGUGGGGUAACGGCUCACCAAGGCGACGAUACAUAGCCGACCUGAGAGGGUGAUCGGCCACACUGGGACUGAGACACGGCCCAGACUCCUACGGGAGGCAGCAGUAGGGAAUCUUCGGCAAUGGACGGAAGUCUGACCGAGCAACGCCGCGUGAGUGAAGAAGGUUUUCGGAUCGUAAAGCUCUGUUGUAAGAGAAGAACGAGUGUGAGAGUGGAAAGUUCA